GCCAGUUUUCCAUUAGAAAUCUAACCCUAAUCCCCCUUCUCACGUUAUCCAAACAAACCUGGUGUGCCACAUUCCUCCUGUCUGUGUUACAGUGGAAGAACAGUCCCAGGAAAGCUUAAGCAUGAUGUGAAAAGAAGCAAGACACUGGAGAGGGGAAAGUUGGAGGUGAUCAGCGUUGGAAAAAGCUGGCAUGGAUACUGUGGGCGUUUGCUGGCCUGGCAAGAAAGACUCUCCCUGAGGUUCCUGUGUUGCUC
This 254-nucleotide long non-coding RNA is filed under the name Numida meleagris (helmeted guineafowl). Its description in RNAcentral is "lncRNA (ENSNMEG00000018232.1)". The record is from RNAcentral. Lineage: Eukaryota; Metazoa; Chordata; Aves; Galliformes; Numididae.